Molecule: ribosomal RNA, 497 nt
Filed under: uncultured bacterium
Lineage: Bacteria
Description: partial 16S ribosomal RNA
Rfam family: Bacterial small subunit ribosomal RNA
Source: RNAcentral
GAUGAACGCUGGCGGCGUGCCUAAUACAUGCAAGUCGAGCGAACAGACGAGGAGCUUGCUCCUCUGACGUUAGCGGCGGACGGGUGAGUAGCACGUGGAUAACCUACCUAUAAGACUGGGAUAACUUCGGGAAACCGGAGCUAAUACCGGAUAAUAUAUUGAACCGCAUGGUUCAAUAGUGAAAGACGGUUUUGCUGUCACUUAUAGAUGGAUCCGCGCCGCAUUAGCUAGUUGGUAAGGUAACGGCUUACCAAGGCAACGAUGCGUAGCCGACCUGAGAGGGUGAUCGGCCACACAGGAACUGAGACACGGUCCAGACUCCUACGGGAGGCAGCAGUAGGGAAUCUUCCGCAAUGGGCGAAAGCCUGACGGAGCAACGCCGCGUGAGUGAUGAAGGUCUUCGGAUCGUAAAACUCUGUUAUUAGGGAAGAACAAAUGUGUAAGUAACUAUGCACGUCUUGACGGUACCUAAUCAGAAAGCCACGGCUAACUACGUG